CCUACGGGUGGCAGCAGUGGGGAAUAUUGCACAAUGGGGGAAACCCUGAUGCAGCGACGCCGCGUGAGUGAAGAAGUAUUUCGGUACGUAAAGCUCUAUCAGCAGGGAAGAAAAUGACGGUACCUGACUAAGAAGCCACGGCUAACUCCGUGCCAGCAGCCGCGGUAAUACGUAGGGAGCAAGCGUUAUCCGGAUUUACUGGGUGUAAAGGGAGCGUAGAGGGCAGAGCAAGUCUGGAGUGAAAUCCCAUGGCUUAACCAUGGAACUGCUUUUGAAACUGUGCAGCUAGAGUGCAGGAGAGGUAAGCGGAAUUCCUAGUGUAGCGGUGAAAUGCGUAGAUAUUAGGAGGAACACCAGUGGCGAAGGCAGCUUACUGGACUGUAACUGACGUUGAGGCUCGAAAGCGUGGGUAGCAAACAGGAUUAGAUACCCGUGUAGUC
This 440-nucleotide ribosomal RNA is filed under the name uncultured bacterium. RNAcentral's name for it is "partial 16S ribosomal RNA". It matches the Rfam family "Bacterial small subunit ribosomal RNA", at positions 338 to 795 of the family's 1533-position model. The record is from RNAcentral.